This 255-nucleotide ribosomal RNA is filed under the name uncultured marine eukaryote. RNAcentral describes it as "partial 18S ribosomal RNA". It matches the Rfam family "Eukaryotic small subunit ribosomal RNA", at positions 1187 to 1456 of the family's 1831-position model. The record is from RNAcentral.
CACGGAGGCUAAAUUUUGACUCAACACGGGAAAUCUCACCAGGCCCGGACACUGGAAGGAUUGACAGAUUGAGAGCUCUUUCUCGAUUCGGUGGGUGGUGGUGCAUGGCCGUUCUUAGUUGGUGGAGUGAUUUGUCUGGUUAAUUCCGAUAACGAACGAGACUCUGUCCUGCUAAAUAGUGUCAGCCUCUCUUCUGGGCUGACAAUUCUUCUUAGAGGGACUGGCGGCUCCUAGCCGCACGAGAUAGAGCAAUAA